RNAcentral lists this ribosomal RNA (887 nucleotides) under uncultured bacterium. RNAcentral's name for it is "bacterial SSU rRNA". It matches the Rfam family "Bacterial small subunit ribosomal RNA", at positions 8 to 891 of the family's 1533-position model. The record is from RNAcentral.
AGAGUUUGAUCCUGGCUCAGGACGAACGCUGGCGGCGUGCCUAACACAUGCAAGUCGAACGGAACUUUUUUAAAAGAUUUCUUCGGAAUGAUUUUGAUUAAGUUUAGUGGCGGACGGGUGAGUAACGCGUGAGUAACCUGCCUCUAAGAGGGGAAUAACAUUCUGAAAAGAAUGCUAAUACCGCAUAACAUAUAUUUAUCGCAUGGUAGAUAUAUCAAAGAUUUAUCGCUUAGAGAUGGACUCGCGUCCGAUUAGUUAGUUGGUGAGGUAACGGCUCACCAAGACUGCGAUCGGUAGCCGGACUGAGAGGUUGAACGGCCACAUUGGGACUGAGACACGGCCCAGACUCCUACGGGAGGCAGCAGUGGGGGAUAUUGCGCAAUGGGGGAAACCCUGACGCAGCAACGCCGCGUGAAGGAUGAAGGUCUUCGGAUUGUAAACUUCUUUUAUUAAGGACGAAGAAAGUGACGGUACUUAAUGAAUAAGCUCCGGCUAACUACGUGCCAGCAGCCGCGGUAAUACGUAGGGAGCAAGCGUUGUCCGGAUUUACUGGGUGUAAAGGGUGCGUAGGCGGCUUUGCAAGUCAGAUGUGAAAUCUAUGGGCUCAACCCAUAGCCUGCAUUUGAAACUGCAGAGCUUGAGUGAAGUAGAGGCAGGCGGAAUUCCCCGUGUAGCGGUGAAAUGCGUAGAGAUGGGGAGGAACACCAGUGGCGAAGGCGGCCUGCUGGGCUUUAACUGACGCUGAGGCACGAAAGCGUGGGUAGCAAACAGGAUUAGAUACCCUGGUAGUCCACGCUGUAAACGAUGAUUACUAGGUGUGGGGGGUCUGACCCCUUCCGUGCCGGAGUUAACACAGUAAGUAAUCCACCUGGGGAGUACGGCCGCAA